AAGUGGGCUCACCAUGCCGGUGUGCUCGCGCAGUUCGGCAUGGGUGCUCGCUACA
RNAcentral lists this microRNA precursor (55 nucleotides) under Oreochromis niloticus (Nile tilapia). RNAcentral describes it as "microRNA oni-mir-10664 precursor". The record is from miRBase by way of RNAcentral. Lineage: Eukaryota; Metazoa; Chordata; Actinopteri; Cichliformes; Cichlidae.